GAUCCUGGCUCAGGAUGAACGCUAGCUACAGGCUUAACACAUGCAAGUCGAGGGGCAGCAUCGCGAUAGCUUGCUAUUGCGGAUGGCGACCGGCGCACGGGUGAGUAACGCGUAUCCAACCUUCCCGCAACUGGGGAAUAACCUUGCGAAAGUAAGACUAAUACCCCAUGGUCUCCACGGAUGGCAUCUGAAAUGGAGUAAAGGUUUCGGCCGGUUGCGGAUGGGGGAUGCGUCCGAUUAG
RNAcentral lists this ribosomal RNA (241 nucleotides) under uncultured bacterium. RNAcentral's name for it is "partial 16S ribosomal RNA". It matches the Rfam family "Bacterial small subunit ribosomal RNA", at positions 15 to 244 of the family's 1533-position model. The record is from RNAcentral.